Molecule: ribosomal RNA, 243 nt
Filed under: Babesia vogeli
Lineage: Eukaryota; Apicomplexa; Aconoidasida; Piroplasmida; Babesiidae
Description: partial 18S ribosomal RNA
Rfam family: Eukaryotic small subunit ribosomal RNA
Source: RNAcentral
AAUACCCAAUCCUGACACAGGGAGGUAGUGACAAGAAAUAACAAUACAGGGCUAAUGUCUUGUAAUUGGAAUGAUGGUGACCCAAACCCUCACCAGAGUAGCAAUUGGAGGGCAAGUCUGGUGCCAGCAGCCGCGGUAAUUCCAGCUCCAAUAGCGUAUAUUAAACUUGUUGCAGUUAAAAAGCUCGUAGUUGAAUUUUAGCGUGUUCGAGUUUGCCAUUCGUUUGGCUUUUUCGAGUUCGCU